UUGCCUUAUACAUUUCCAAUUAUCGUGUUACAUCAUACAACAUGUGUUAUCACAUAUCACAUAUAAAUUGAGUUCCAUACCCAAUUAACUUAGUCAUAUUUUGACUUUAACAAUUCAUAGAGCAUGAUAUGUAAUUUAGCACAUAACCACAUUCAAUCCACAAACAUAAUAGAACUGAAAAACUUGCCUUAAUUGAGGAUUACCGUUAUAGUUUACUCUAACUUCUUCUCACGAAUCCUACACAAUCGUGUUCACAUACACGCAUAUUAGAUAACCAAUUAUGUCACAUGACCUGUGCAUAUUAAAUAAUCAUAUAAGUCAUGAUCAUUAGUUACCAUAACCUAUAAUCUUUUAUUCUUGUCUUAUAACUAUUCUUGGUUUCUUUAGAAACUUUAUUUGUUUAAACCUUUUUAUACAUAAUAAGGUUCUCACAUGACUAGUGUAUAAAUACUUUACAUCCCGAAACAUAAACCACUUAUAUUCUAUUUUAAGAAUCUUCCUCUCUUUUAUAAUAAAUUCGGAACCAUAUAGUUUAUGAAUAGUUUUUACGACACAAACAUGGCUUACUACAUCAUUUCUUUAAUUUCGGUAAUGUUCAUACCUUUUCGAUAGUUCAUGUGUUAAAUCACGUUAUCGCCACGUACGCAAAUGCUUCACUAUAUAUGUAGCUUAGCUUCGCAUUAUUCCCGCGAAUAACUUACAUUUUCGCUUCGCUUGUACUUUAAAUUCAUACAUAUAGCAUUAUGUAAUUUUGUGUUCAAAAUCUCCGUUUCGAACUCCAGACACCUUCGUUUUAACACUUUUAUGUCCAAUAUAAUUUUAAAUGGGUUCGUGCAUUUCAUAUAGCUUUAUACCCGUUUUGCAUAUUAUUUCUCGGCUUACGUUUGCGUAAACAUGUAAACUUAUGUUUACAUUACAUGUUUAUUGUUUUCCUUACGCUCAAGAUGAGUUUUCACGGCAUAAAGUUGUUAUAUUACAUUUUUACUUCCAUUUCGGUGUCUUGCUACAUGCCAAAUCAUUAAAGCCAACCAAGAAUCGCAUCGCGGAAUCAACUGGCCAAACAGCCCAACGCUGCUAGCAGCUGGGCCUCGCGUGGCCCUGCGUGGCUUAGCCGGGCUCGGCGUUGCCUGGGCAGUUCCCUUGCUUUGACACUCGUUUCGUGAUGUUAUAUCUUUUAAACCACUCGUUCAUAUGAUUUGAAUUUUGGAUAUGUUUGAGGUAGUAUAUCCAUCUAAUUAUAAACAUUAUAAUCCAAGCAUUACAAGAAACCCAAAUUGCCAGAACCACAAGCCAAACCCAGCUGGGUGAAUUGCAUAGCACAGCGCCGAACGGCAUGUGCGCGCGGCUGGAGUAGCGCAUGCCCAGCUGGGCUGCUGCCCCAAUAACGAAAUGCCUAGUUUGCGCAUUUUUAACUUUUCGCUCGUAGUUCGAAUUGCAACCAAUUUUUGAUAUAUUGAAAACACCCUACUAGACUAUAUAUAGAAAAUAUAAGCUACCCAUUUCAGAAACUUUAAACAGUCCAAACAAAGCUCCAAAAAUGCUGUGUCAUAACAGUUUUUAAUUGUUUUCCAGCUUGACUCUGUUGCGCUAAAACAGUCAUAACUUCUUCGUUUCAAAACAUUUUUGAGCGAUUCUUGAGCCCACACGAAGCUAACUUCCGGGACUACAACUUUAUUCUUUGACCAUUUUCAAAUUCUAAUCACAGAAUUCCAGAAAAUUCGUGUAAGGGCUGCUUCGAAUCUGUUUUCCAGAAUUUUGGCAGAUUCGACGCGACUACUUUGAACUGUUAUAACUCCUUGCUCCGAAGUCGGAAUCAGUCCGUUCCGGAGUCUAUGGAAAGCUUAUUCAGUGUACUACACAUCCCCAAAAGCCCAGAAUUUUCUGGAAAGUCUAGGUAGUCCCGAAUUUUUCUUUCAAGGUCAGCAGCCAAAUUAGUUUUCGGUUUCUAAUAUAUUUUACUAAUUUGAAAUCCUCAAACUACGCAUCCAAUAAAAACCAAGUUCUGGUAUAUAGCAGAGGGCAUAGCAAGGUAUUUUUGAAAAAUAUAACAUAUCCCAAACAAGUAUCUUGAGUACACUUUAUUGAAUGCCCAAUCUGCCCUGCCGAAUAAUUUUUUAAUCCAACUUUAACAUGUUGUUUCCCUUCAAAAAAAUAGCUUUCUUUCUUAAUUCAAUCCAUACAAGUCAUUUAAUUAAUUUCAUAUAACAUGCCCAUAGACAUCUUUGGCCUUACUUUGCUUAAUUUCAGUCUUUUAAUCAAAACAGCCCCUAAGAGGACUUUUGACAAACAAGUGGUGUACGCUGUUUUGAUACACAACUUUCAUAGCCAUUUAUACAUACAUUCUCCGAACACAAUCCAUCCUUGUACCUUCGGAAUCCUCCGUGAUUCCCCAACACAUAAAACCCCCACAAUAACCCAAUCAAUUACUAACAAUUCACGAAAUUCUUAAUAAAAAAAAGUCAAAACAAAGUAAACAUACCUUGUUUCUUUUUUUCUAAUUAUCUUGAAUUAUAUCUCCAAUUGAUUUAGCAAUUCUUUCCUUUGUAAUUUGCCAACAAUUCCUUCAUUUGUUUGCUAAUGUUUUCUUCAAUUUCAGUUCAAGACCUCAAUUGCUCGGUAUUAGCCCUUUAUUGGAUCAAAGCUUUGGUUCUUGAAUGAAGAAGAAGUUUGGGAUUUGAAUUACUUGGAGGCUUUAAUGUUUUUGAAUAAGGAACAUGGAACGGAUGGAUUACAUAAGAAGACAGCUUCAACUCUUUUUAAUUAUCAGUAUACCCUUAAAUAUUUAGACGAUUUGGGAAUUCCUUUGUAUCAGAACAUGGGAGCAUGAAGAAUUUGUGGUAUGGAAGUGUCAAGACUCGGGAAUUAGAGAGAGAUGAGCAACGGAUGAAGCUUAGGGAGGGAUAAAGAAUGCUUAAAACUGUUUUUGUGAAAUUAGACUCCUUAGUCAUUCCUUUCAUUUGUCUGAUACAUGAUAAC
RNAcentral lists this long non-coding RNA (2976 nucleotides) under Panax ginseng (ginseng). RNAcentral's name for it is "long non-coding RNA (PGIN_LNC005507)". Lineage: Eukaryota; Viridiplantae; Streptophyta; Magnoliopsida; Apiales; Araliaceae. The record is from RNAcentral.